AGGACCAUCCGUCGGGUCUCAUCAAACACACAACAAACAACUAAUAAUUCUGUCGGGUGCGAGAGGGCGAACUAGAGGAGUCAACUCCUCGUCAUAUCCCCCAGUGGGACGGCUCGCGGGAGCCGAC
Caenorhabditis elegans is the source of this 127-nucleotide non-coding RNA. Lineage: Eukaryota; Metazoa; Nematoda; Chromadorea; Rhabditida; Rhabditidae. The record is from Ensembl.